GCCUCCGUGGCGCAAUCGGUUAGCGCGUUCGGCUGUUAACCGACAGGUUGGAGGUUCGAUUCCUCCCGGUGGCG
RNAcentral lists this transfer RNA (74 nucleotides) under Dermacentor andersoni. RNAcentral describes it as "transfer RNA asparagine (anticodon GUU)". It matches the Rfam family "tRNA". From Rfam's summary of the family: Transfer RNA (tRNA) molecules are approximately 80 nucleotides in length. Lineage: Eukaryota; Metazoa; Arthropoda; Arachnida; Ixodida; Ixodidae. The record is from RNAcentral.